AAGUUGUUAGCAUCACUUUUUGCUAGUUGAACAAGCUGAGGAGUAAAUUCUUGAAUCCUUUUUUCGUCUUUGUGCAUUAACUCAUUAAAUAAAGUUUCCAAUGCUUUUCUCUCGUCUUGCUUCACGGUACCUUUAAAUUGACGAACAGCUUCUUCACCGACAAAUUCACGCAAAGGAGCUAUACUGUCAAGGAACUGUUCGAUUUGCUUUACUGGUCGAAAACCACAAAGAGCGUCGAAUUCUGUCAAUGCAACUGCCAUUUCUGGCUUAUGAUUAUCGUCCUUGUACUCUUUCGGAUUCGUUUUGUGAAGUUGUUUACCAAGGGGUUUGUCAGGAUGAGCCUGAAUAGACAGCACCUUAUUUAUCGAUAAAACUUUGAAUAAAAAGGGGAGUUGUUUCCCAUAUUUCUUGUACACUUUUUCUCCAACGGUUUCUGGAGUUAACAACUCACUCAACGGCUUACCAGUUUGCAUAACAAAGGAAGGGCCAGAAGGAUGAGAACCCAUCCACAACUGUAUAGAAAAUUCAAUUAGUAUAGAAUUAACCAAGCCUUUUGCAUACCUCAGCGUAUGGGGUAUUAGGAUCAACCUCGAAACCGUAUCCAGCCUCAGCUAAUUUCGCGGCUAAAGACUCGUGACCAACUUUUCCCCAUCCAUAACUUUUAACAUCACAUUUGAGACGAUACAUAAUUAAUUAAAUUCAAGAUUUCUUUAUAAGCCUUUAUUUGGCUGUGAGAACGAAUUAUACGAUGAACGACGGCUUAUAGCGUGGAUACGUGCUACUAGAUGAACCUUACCUUCAAAACU
Molecule: non-coding RNA, 806 nt
Organism: Schizosaccharomyces pombe (fission yeast)
Lineage: Eukaryota; Fungi; Ascomycota; Schizosaccharomycetes; Schizosaccharomycetales; Schizosaccharomycetaceae
Source: the annotation of a GenBank genome assembly